UGGGGAUGACGUCAAAUCAGCACGGCCCUUACGUCCAGGGCUACACACGUGCUACAAUGGCCGGUACAAAGGGCAGCUACCUGGUGACAGGAUGCUAAUCUCAAAAGCCGGUCUCAGUUCGGAUUGGAGGCUGCAACUCGCCUCCAUGAAGUCGGAAUCGCUAGUAACCGCAGAUCAGCUACGUUGCGGUGAAUACGUUCCCGGGCCUU
This 209-nucleotide ribosomal RNA is filed under the name uncultured Marinilabiliaceae bacterium. RNAcentral describes it as "partial 16S ribosomal RNA". It matches the Rfam family "Bacterial small subunit ribosomal RNA", at positions 1174 to 1382 of the family's 1533-position model. The record is from RNAcentral. Lineage: Bacteria; Pseudomonadati; Bacteroidota; Bacteroidia; Marinilabiliales; Marinilabiliaceae.